CUGUUUUCGCAAAGUCAGCCAACCACUUGCUUCCAAAUGACCCUUAUCCAGAAGUAUCCGUGAGUGCCUCAUCAACAGAAACUAAAGUGGAGACCUACCUCUCAGAGAAAACGCACACAUAAGAAAAGCCGACCCACUUCAGUACUGGGAAGAACAUCCUAAUUUGUUUCCCUCUAUGGCUGCUGUUGCGAUCCCAGUGUGCCCCCUGUAGCUCUGUGGACAGUUUUGGAUUUGUUUACAUCUCACCCAACCGCUCACGGCAGAUGGCUGCACCCCUCUAAGCCUGGUUCUGCCGGAGGUUUCUUCCUGUUAAAAGGGAGUUUUUCUGAACACACUCUACCACCAACAAGGACAGCUCACCAGUGGGAACUGAUAGAUAAGACUGCUGAUGUGCUCUCAUCCAUUGAAGAGCUGACCAGAAACGUGAACAGAAAGACUGCACCUGAUGGGAUCCCUGCCAUAACGGUGAAGGCAGUGGAGAAGCCCUACACUGAUCUUGAAACUGUGCCACGCUAGUAGAGACCGGCUACAAGGAUGGGCAGCUGUUUUCGCAAAGUCAGCCAACCACUUGCUUCCAAAUGACCCUUAUCCAGAAGUAUCCGUGAGUGCCUCAUCAACAGAAACUAAAGUGGAGACCUACCUCUCAGAGAAAAACGCACACAUAAGAAAAGCCGACCCACUUCAGUACUGAGAAGAACAUCCUAAUCUGUUUCCCUCUAUGGCUGCUGUUGCAAUCCCAGUGUGCCCCCUGUAGCUCUGUGGACAGUUUUGGAUUUGUUUACAUCUCACCCCAACCGGUCAUGACAGAUGGCCGCCCCUCCCUGAGCCUGGUUCUGCCGGAGGUUUCUUCCUGUCAAAAGGGAGUUUUUCCUUCCCACUGUCGCCAAAGUGCUUGCUCAUAGGGGGUCAUAUGAUUGUUGGGUUUAUCUAUAUACAUUAAUUCUUGUAUGCUUUUCAUUUAUACUUUUGCCUUACUCUUCAGUUCAUAAUAUAAAGUUACUUGAAUGUUUUCCUUUUCCUUUUUAUUUUAUAUUGCUUUGCUAUUUACCACAAUCUAAAUAUCAUGUUUAAAUGUCAUACAUUAUUGUAAAUGGUAUUUGUACAAAAUAUUAUUUGAAUAACAUGAUACAUUUUAGUCCCACAAGGGGAAAUUUCAUAAUUUUCAUGUGGAAUUUCCCCUUUCACAUUAAAAUACCUUUGAAAUACAAAUUGAAUACCGCUUAAUGGACAUUUAUUUCUACCACUUUAAACGACUCAAAACUGUAAAAUCUAAAUUGUAACUUCUCUUGAACACCUGACACUAAAGCAUAAUUUAUUUUCUUUUAUAUCUAUUAACUUAUUUUGUAAUCAUGUAACUGGAGCAUCUUUCUCUCAUCUCUGUAUGCCGCAUAUAACAGAGAUCACAAUACAGCUUACUUUGCUUUAAGUUGAAAAUCAGCUGUAUUCCAUUUCCCUACUUCUUG
This is a long non-coding RNA of Oreochromis aureus, 1463 nucleotides long. The record is from Ensembl. NCBI's taxonomy places the organism in Eukaryota, Metazoa, Chordata, Actinopteri, Cichliformes, Cichlidae.